Mauremys reevesii (Reeves's turtle) is the source of this 306-nucleotide long non-coding RNA. RefSeq lists it as uncharacterized. The transcript is spliced from 3 exons. The record is from RefSeq and is a predicted model, not a curated record. Lineage: Eukaryota; Metazoa; Chordata; Testudines; Geoemydidae.
GUAGCAAGCUGCAAUGAAGGCUGAGAGCUGUAGUAUCUGUAGGCCACAGUGCCUUAUGAAAGAGCAGGGGAGCAGCAGUCUGCUCCAUUUUAUAAAGAAUAACUCAGCCUCAGUUGAUAAGGGCUGAAAGCUCUACAGAGUGAUGGUCGGUGCCGCAGAGAGUCCGGGAGAGGAAAGCUAAAGGAAAAUGCAAAAGGAAAACAAGGGGCUGUCCAGAAGGUUUUUGAAUGUACCAGCGGUCACUUGGGAACAUCAUAAGAGGAGAUCUGGAUUACUAAGAUGUGUACACUGAUGGCAAUAAAGCAC